Molecule: ribosomal RNA, 2924 nt
Filed under: Klebsiella pneumoniae
Lineage: Bacteria; Pseudomonadati; Pseudomonadota; Gammaproteobacteria; Enterobacterales; Enterobacteriaceae
Description: bacterial LSU rRNA
Rfam family: Bacterial large subunit ribosomal RNA
Source: RNAcentral
GGGUUGUGAGGUUAAGCGACUAAGCGUACACGGUGGAUGCCCUGGCAGUCAGAGGCGAUGAAGGACGUGCUAAUCUGCGAAAAGCGUCGGUAAGGUGAUAUGAACCGUUACAGCCGGCGAUGUCCGAAUGGGGAAACCCAGUGUGAUUCGUCACACUAUCGUUAACUGAAUACAUAGGUUAACGAGGCGAACCGGGGGAACUGAAACAUCUAAGUACCCCGAGGAAAAGAAAUCAACCGAGAUUCCCCCAGUAGCGGCGAGCGAACGGGGAGCAGCCCAGAGUCUGAAUCAGCUUGUGUGUUAGUGGAACGGUCUGGAAAGUCCGACGGUACAGGGUGAUAGUCCCGUACACCAAAAUGCACAGGCUGUGAACUCGAAGAGUAGGGCGGGACACGUGGUAUCCUGUCUGAAUAUGGGGGGACCAUCCUCCAAGGCUAAAUACUCCUGACUGACCGAUAGUGAACCAGUACCGUGAGGGAAAGGCGAAAAAGAACCCCGGCGAGGGGAGUGAAAAAGAACCUGAAACCGUGUACGUACAAGCAGUGGGAGCACCUUCGGGUGUGACUGCGUACCUUUUGUAUAAUGGGUCAGCGACUUAUAUUCUGUAGCAAGGUUAACCGUAUAGGGGAGCCGCAGGGAAACCGAGUCUUAACUGGGCGUUAAGUUGCAGGGUAUAGACCCGAAACCCGGUGAUCUAGCCAUGGGCAGGUUGAAGGUUGGGUAACACUAACUGGAGGACCGAACCGACUAAUGUUGAAAAAUUAGCGGAUGACUUGUGGCUGGGGGUGAAAGGCCAAUCAAACCGGGAGAUAGCUGGUUCUCCCCGAAAGCUAUUUAGGUAGCGCCUCGUGAACUCAUCUUCGGGGGUAGAGCACUGUUUCGGCUAGGGGGUCAUCCCGACUUACCAACCCGAUGCAAACUACGAAUACCGAAGAAUGUUAUCACGGGAGACACACGGCGGGUGCUAACGUCCGUCGUGAAGAGGGAAACAACCCAGACCGCCAGCUAAGGUCCCAAAGUCAUGGUUAAGUGGGAAACGAUGUGGGAAGGCACAGACAGCCAGGAUGUUGGCUUAGAAGCAGCCAUCAUUUAAAGAAAGCGUAAUAGCUCACUGGUCGAGUCGGCCUGCGCGGAAGAUGUAACGGGGCUAAACCAUGCACCGAAGCUGCGGCAGCGACACUAUGUGUUGUUGGGUAGGGGAGCGUUCUGUAAGCCUGCGAAGGUGUGCUGUGAGGCAUGCUGGAGGUAUCAGAAGUGCGAAUGCUGACAUAAGUAACGAUAAAGCGGGUGAAAAGCCCGCUCGCCGGAAGACCAAGGGUUCCUGUCCAACGUUAAUCGGGGCAGGGUGAGUCGACCCCUAAGGCGAGGCCGAAAGGCGUAGUCGAUGGGAAACAGGUUAAUAUUCCUGUACUUGGUGUUACUGCGAAGGGGGGACGGAGAAGGCUAUGUUAGCCGGGCGACGGUUGUCCCGGUUUAAGCAUGUAGGCUGGUUGUCCAGGCAAAUCCGGAUAAUCAAGGCUGAGGUGUGAUGACGAGGUACUACGGUGCUGAAGUAACAAAUGCCCUGCUUCCAGGAAAAGCCUCUAAGCAUCAGGUAACAUCAAAUCGUACCCCAAACCGACACAGGUGGUCAGGUAGAGAAUACCAAGGCGCUUGAGAGAACUCGGGUGAAGGAACUAGGCAAAAUGGUGCCGUAACUUCGGGAGAAGGCACGCUGGUGUGUAGGUGAAGUCCCUGCGGAUGGAGCUGAGACCAGUCGAAGAUACCAGCUGGCUGCAACUGUUUAUUAAAAACACAGCACUGUGCAAACACGAAAGUGGACGUAUACGGUGUGACGCCUGCCCGGUGCCGGAAGGUUAAUUGAUGGGGUUAUCCGUAAGGAGAAGCUCUUGAUCGAAGCCCCGGUAAACGGCGGCCGUAACUAUAACGGUCCUAAGGUAGCGAAAUUCCUUGUCGGGUAAGUUCCGACCUGCACGAAUGGCGUAAUGAUGGCCAGGCUGUCUCCACCCGAGACUCAGUGAAAUUGAACUCGCUGUGAAGAUGCAGUGUACCCGCGGCAAGACGGAAAGACCCCGUGAACCUUUACUAUAGCUUGACACUGAACAUUGAGCCUUGAUGUGUAGGAUAGGUGGGAGGCUUUGAAGCGUGGACGCCAGUCUGCGUGGAGCCAACCUUGAAAUACCACCCUUUAAUGUUUGAUGUUCUAACGUUGGCCCCUUACCGGGGUUGCGGACAGUGUCUGGUGGGUAGUUUGACUGGGGCGGUCUCCUCCCAAAGCGUAACGGAGGAGCACGAAGGUUAGCUAAUCCUGGUCGGACAUCAGGAGGUUAGUGCAAUGGCAUAAGCUAGCUUGACUGCGAGCGUGACGGCGCGAGCAGGUGCGAAAGCAGGUCAUAGUGAUCCGGUGGUUCUGAAUGGAAGGGCCAUCGCUCAACGGAUAAAAGGUACUCCGGGGAUAACAGGCUGAUACCGCCCAAGAGUUCAUAUCGACGGCGGUGUUUGGCACCUCGAUGUCGGCUCAUCACAUCCUGGGGCUGAAGUAGGUCCCAAGGGUAUGGCUGUUCGCCAUUUAAAGUGGUACGCGAGCUGGGUUUAGAACGUCGUGAGACAGUUCGGUCCCUAUCUGCCGUGGGCGCUGGAGAAUUGAGGGGGGCUGCUCCUAGUACGAGAGGACCGGAGUGGACGCAUCACUGGUGUUCGGGUUGUCAUGCCAAUGGCACUGCCCGGUAGCUAAAUGCGGAAGAGAUAAGUGCUGAAAGCAUCUAAGCACGAAACUUGCCCCGAGAUGAGUUCUCCCUGAGACUUUAAGUCUCCUGAAGGAACGUUAAAGACGAUGACGUUGAUAGGCCGGGUGUGUAAGCGCAGCGAUGCGUUGAGCUAACCGGUACUAAUGAACCGUGAGGCUUAACCUUACAACGCCGAAG